Molecule: RNA transcript, 3073 nt
Organism: Ictalurus furcatus (blue catfish)
Lineage: Eukaryota; Metazoa; Chordata; Actinopteri; Siluriformes; Ictaluridae
Gene name: carcinoembryonic antigen-related cell adhesion molecule 20-like
Exons: 8
Source: RefSeq, a predicted model, not a curated record
AUAUGCUGCCUAUGACGCCUUCCCUGUAGGCUGUUCACUCUUGCAUGUGUGCUUUAAUGACACUGUUUACAGACCUGCUGUCUCGUCUGCUUACUUAGUUAACUUUUGCUUUUUCAGUCGUUUGCUUUCUAACUCGAGUCUAAUCGGCACUAUUCGGUUUCACAUCGGGUGAUUAAUCAGCACAGAUCUUUCUGUAGAGACGCUUAUUGAGAAGCAGUGGUGGAGCUCCGGAUCUCUCCUGAUGGAUUUACACGCUGUGUGCUGCUCUCUGCUUCUGCUGUCAUGUACAGGAGCAUGUUUUGGCCAAGAGCUGAUAUUACCUGAGAUAAUAAAUACAGCAGUUGGGGAGAAUGUGGUGAUUACUCCAAUCCGUCUUCCUGAUCCCCCACAUUAUGUGAUCAUAUGGAAGUUUAAUGAGACUGCCAUUCUUGCUGGACCUCCAAGUGGAAUUAUAAUACAGCCACCUUACACUGACAGAGUCAGUCUGGACCCCACCACUUAUACUCUGGAGCUCAGGAGCCUGACUGAGAACGAUACUGGACUAUAUUCUCUGACUGUAGAAACUCUGACAAAUCCUAUCACAGGUGAAACCUCACUGCAUGUGUUUGAAAUAAUAUCUGGAGCAGCACUUACUGGCCCAACAGAUGAUCUAAUAGAAGAUGAUUCCUCUGCUACAUUAUCCUGUAAGGCAAGUGGAACCAUCUACAGUGCUGAAUGGAUGAAAGAUAAUCAGAAACUGUCAGCUAGCGACAACAUCACAUUCUCGAAUGAUAACAGAUCAGUGAUGAUCAGUCCAGUGAGGAGAAGAGACAGUGGUGAAUAUAAGUGUACACUCAGCAACCCCAUCAGCUCUGACAUUGCAACAUACAGAAUGACUGUUAAUUUUGGACCAGAUAAUGUGAUAAUUGAUGGACCAUUUGCAGUGGAGGAAGGAAAUAAAUUGACACUGUCUUGCCGUACUGAAUCUACACCAAAUGCCUCGUACAAAUGGAUGUUUAAUGGGACUUUACUUGAAGUGAAUACAACCGUAUUUACUGUGGAAGAGGUCACCUUUAUGCACACUGGAAAUUACACCUGCAUGGCCUCCAAUCCUGUAACCGGACGUGAUGCCUCUGCAUCCCAUAUUUUGGUAGUUAAAGAAAAAGGCUCUAUGGGUGGAGGUGGGGAGUCACUGUCUGCAGGAGCCAUAGCUGGGAUUGUUAUUGGAGUUUUAUUGGGUGUUGCUGGAAUUGCUGGUUUGAUUUUCUACUUUGUUAAAGGCAGAAAAUAGGUAAUACAAGCUCCUGAAAGUGUGACCAGAAAUUAAAGCUCCAGAGGAAACAAGCAAAAUUGAGACAGCUACAUCUUAUCCUGCCACACAAAUCAUUUAUUAGUUAGUUAAUUUAGUGUGGACCACGCUGACCAAGCCUGCCAGUCACCUUCUAAAAAGUAAGCACACAAUUCAGCAAUUCUGCAAGAGACAUUUGUGGAUUUGAUCGACCUGCCAUUGUUGUGGAAGAAAAAAUCACGAGUCCAAGCUCUUGAAGUAACUGAAUGGUUUUGCUGCAGAUUCUGAUUGAAUAGAAGUGGGUAUUGUUGGCUAUUUCACUGGAACCCUCAGUGUUUAAGGAAUUUAGUCCUUAGAUUUUCUUGCUUUUAAUAUUAGAUACAAAUGUAUUAAAAUGUACAAUAUCACUUACGAAUACAAAUUACAACAAAGUACAAUGAGAUUCAGCAUGCAUUUACCCCAUCAAGCAACGAAGUAUAAAGAAAAUUUUAUAAAUAUAUACAGUACAAAUGUAAUAGUAGUAGUGCAAAUAUAUUAGAUGCAAUAAUAUAAAUAAUAUACAUUCUGUUCACAUUUUGUUGAGAAAUCAAAUUCUCCAAGCUGUAAUAAAUUAAAUGUAAUACAUGACUUGAAAUGGCAUGUGUGGCCCCCAGAUAACCUUUGAUUAGAAAUAUAUGUUCAAUAUAACAAAGGGCAUGUUUAAAAAGUGCCAUAAAACAUGCUUGCUGUUUAGCUGUCUUGUAAUCUAAUAGAUAUAGACCCUGACUAUGUUUUUUCACCUUUGGACCUGCUUAACUCUGUUACUCAGGGAACUAAAAUGAGGAAGUAAUAAAAGUUAGAAAUUUACUGGAUGUUCAAAUGAAAUAAGUGCAGUGGUUCCCAGCAUGUAACAAAAAAAAAAACCAAUAAUCUGAAUACUGUACUGUAACUUUCUUUACUAAUAAAAAAUGCUAAUAUUUUUGUUAACCUAUUUUUGUGUUUCAUCUAGGCCUAUGUAAUUUUAUCCAAUAUGGGUGUAUAUAAUUGUUUUAUUUAAAUUUUGACAAUGCUUGGUAGGAAAUCACAUAAAUCAGAUUGUAUGAAUGGCAAAGUUUAGGGUCGCAGCUUUCUUUCAACAUUUGUUUGAAAUCCACAGAAUCUCAUGAUAAUUUUUUUUUUAUUAUUAUUAAAUAAAUUCAUACUCCCAGAUCUCUAAUUAGGGUUUAAGAUUACACUUUGGUAUACUUUCAUCUAUGACCUCUAGAAUGACAAAUGUAUACAGUUUACAUUUUUUUAUGAUUUAUUUAGACAUUUCUGCUUGCUUGUCUUAAAAUAACAUAACAUUUUUGUCAUUCAUAAUCGUCUGUUUGCAGUCAUGCUGUCAUAUUAUGUUUAAUGUUCACCCUUUCUGUCACUGGGUGGCUCUCUUUGGCUCCGGUCUGAUUAUUAAAUUUUCAAGGAAAAAAAUUGUAUUUGUUGGUGUAUUAGAGUCAUAUGUCCGCCUUUUUCAGUCCUGCAGAGUGAAGAGCACAAUGUAUUAUUUUGAUCUUGCCCUAAAAUAUUUCUCUAUCUGUUGUGUAAAUCCUUGGAGAAACUUUGAUUGUAAGUUUUAGUGUUCAUCUUUGUAAUUUUAAAUGCUAUGUGCAUGUAUUUAUUUAAUUUUGCUAUUUUUAAGUUUCUUAAGCAGCAUAUACCCAGUCUCAGAGAUCAGUUCUGUCUUCUGUAAUAAUUUAAUCUAUUUUCGUUACACUUUCAUUUCAGUUUCACAAAAAAUAUAAGGAGAUUAAGAGUAAUGCACAAUCGCACUCAAGAAACUAAAGUCAAAGA